This 274-nucleotide ribosomal RNA is filed under the name uncultured bacterium. Its description in RNAcentral is "partial 16S ribosomal RNA". It matches the Rfam family "Bacterial small subunit ribosomal RNA", at positions 524 to 805 of the family's 1533-position model. The record is from RNAcentral.
GACAGAGGUGCCAAGCGUUAGGCGGAAUCACUGGGCUUAAAGCGUGUGUAGGCGGACUUCUAAGUACCUUGUGAAAUCCCCCGGCUCAACCGGGGAACGGCUGGGUAUACUGGGAGUCUUGAGCCAGCUAGGGGUCGCCGGAACAAGUGGUGGAGCGGUGAAAUGCGUAGAUAUCACUUGGAACGCCAAUGGUGAAAACAGGCGACUGGGGCUGUGCUGACGCUGAGACACGAAAGCCAGGGGAGCGAACGGGGAUCUGAGUACCGUACCGUAA